GCGCCCUUAGGCUCAGCUGGAUAGAGCACCAGACUACGAAUCUGGGGGUCAGGAGUUCGAAUCUCUUAGGGCGCGCCA
RNAcentral lists this transfer RNA (78 nucleotides) under Devosia algicola. RNAcentral's name for it is "Devosia sp. G20-9 tRNA-Arg". It matches the Rfam family "tRNA". Rfam says of the family: Transfer RNA (tRNA) molecules are approximately 80 nucleotides in length. Lineage: Bacteria; Pseudomonadati; Pseudomonadota; Alphaproteobacteria; Hyphomicrobiales; Devosiaceae. The record is from RNAcentral.